Molecule: ribosomal RNA, 1512 nt
Filed under: Triticum aestivum (bread wheat)
Lineage: Eukaryota; Viridiplantae; Streptophyta; Magnoliopsida; Poales; Poaceae
Description: partial small subunit ribosomal RNA
Source: RNAcentral
AUGGCCGCCAUCAAGAUCAAGCUCGUGGUGGACAGGUCGUGCAACCGCGUGCUGUUCGCCGACAUCGGCUCCGACUUCGUCGACGUCCUCCUCGCCUUCCUGACGCUCCCGAUCUCCGCCGUCCAGCUCGCCGCGGGCGCGUCCUCGCCGGGCUGCCUGACAAACCUCUCCGCCAGCGUCCGGCACCUGGGGGACGCUAAACUGUUGAAGGGCGAGGCCUGCCACGGCACGCUUCUCAGGCCUACACACGCCGAUGAAUUUGGGUACAGUAGCGCACCAUGCCCAGGGUGCACUCCGUUCAAGGAAAAGCAUCCGACUCCACAGGGACAGCACCUCCAGCAGUGUGGUUGCAGGUGCCGGGAGGUCAUGGCUAGGCUGGCGCAUGUGUGCGACCAAACAACACGCACAGAGGUCUUCUCCAAGUGGAAAGAGAGGUUCGUCAUCAGCGACGAUCUGGUGAUCAAGCCGGCGGCGACUAGCACGGUCUUGUCUUUUCUUCAGGGUCUCUACGGAGACAGGAUCAAAGACGCCUACGAGGUGGAGGUGGACGUCGGAUGGACCCAGGUGGUUUGCUUGCUCAAGGCAUGUGUCUCGUCCACCACCAUAUUCACCGAUGUGUUUCUCGCGAAAAGAACCGAUGCUUUGAUGGGCACAUCAGUGCUCACAAUUCACAGUCCUCGGCGUCAAGAAACCAACCAAACCCCCGAUCCGCAGAUGAGCAUCAAGCUUUUCUUCGACAAGGAGGACAGAAAGGUCAUGUACGCUGAGUGCAAGCAUGACUUCGUGGACCUGCUCCUCAGUUUCCUGACCUACCCCAUGGGGUGCAUCCUCAAGAACCUGGCCGGCACGUCUCACCGCACGCUGCUGGAUCCUAAUAUUGCUCCGUUGAAGAUGCACGGCGCCAAUUGGUCGGAUCAAGCAAUUGCGGAGUGGUAUCAUCUCUGCCGGACCGGGAAGCGGCAGUGCUCCCCCGCAAAGGAUAAAAGGUCAUGCCAUUUGUUCGAUCCGGUGUUUGUAGACGAUCACACCUAUGUGGUAGCCGACGAGCUUAGUAUACAUCAAGCUCCGGCCGUGUCGGUGCUGAAGCACUGGUGCAAGAGAAACCGGGAUAAUGUAGUGGAGAUGGACAUCUCUGCUGUUGCGCUACUACGAGCGGUGAUCAAUUCAGAGACUGUGCUGUCAGAUGCGUUCAAGGAGAGGUUUGAGCAGGAAGCACAACCGCUGCCACCUUCGAAAAGAAGAACAGGUUCGCCAUCGGUGGAAAAGAUGCAGAUCUUUGUCAAGAUCUUCACAGGCGAGACCAUCACCCUUGACAUGGCAAGCUCCGACACGGUUGCUGCCGUGAGGAGUAAGAUCCAGAUGAAGGGGAAGCCAAUGGCUGACUGUGGGUUAGUGUACGGUGGCAAAUGCCUACAGGAUCCAUGGACCCUGGCUGACUGUGGCAUUCAUAGAGAAGCCACCAUCCAUCUUGAGUUUUACCCCCGCGGCCUUAUCAAAACUGACACAGAAUGA